GUCCACGCCGUAAACGAUGGAUACUAGCUGUUCGGAGCAAUCUGAGUGGCUAAGCGAAAGUGAUAAGUAUCCCACCUGGGGAGUACGUUCGCAAGAAUGAAACUCAAAGGAAUUGACGGGGGCCCGCACAAGCGGUGGAGCAUGUGGUUUAAUUCGAUGAUACGCGAGGAACCUUACCAAGGCUUAAAUGGGGAUUGACCGGUUUGGAAACAGACCUUUCGCAAGACAAUCUUCAAGGUGCUGCAUGGUUGUCGU
RNAcentral lists this ribosomal RNA (255 nucleotides) under uncultured bacterium. Its description in RNAcentral is "partial 16S ribosomal RNA". It matches the Rfam family "Bacterial small subunit ribosomal RNA", at positions 793 to 1055 of the family's 1533-position model. The record is from RNAcentral.